This 747-nucleotide ribosomal RNA is filed under the name Triticum aestivum (bread wheat). RNAcentral's name for it is "partial small subunit ribosomal RNA". The record is from RNAcentral. Lineage: Eukaryota; Viridiplantae; Streptophyta; Magnoliopsida; Poales; Poaceae.
AUGAGCCGCAUACACCCCAACGCGGAGGCCUCCAGGCGUCUCCUGCGACACGGCGCCGGCGCCGGCGCGGCUGCCUCGGCGGCGUGCUACACGGUCUGGAUGAGGUCCAGCAUGGGCUUCCAGGGCACCGACGGCUUCUCCGUCUACGACGCCGGGGGCGAGCUGGCCUUCCGCGUCGACAACUACUCCCGCCGCCGGAAGAUCUUCGCCGGCGAGCUCACGCUCAUGGACGGCCACGGCGCGCCGCUCCUCUCCCUCAGGCCGCAGAUCAUCAGCAUGCACGACCAAUGGAACUGCUACAAAGCACCAGAAGAAGGCCAAGCAAAGAGGGCAAGAUCACAGCAGCUCUUCUCGGUGAGGAAAUGCUCGGUCCUGCAGAACAACCGUGAAGCAGAAGUUUACAUGUCUUCAGCCUGCACCACCACCACCACCACCACCACCACCGACGCAUCAGCAUCAGACCAUGGCACCACUGGCCACCAGUCCCCAGGCUUCUGGAUCGAGGGCUGCUUCCGGAGGAGAAACUGCAAGAUCCGCAGGGCCCAUGACGGCAAAGAGGUGGCGAGGAUCGCGAGGAAGAAGGCGAGGACAGCUGCGACGCCUGACACGGCGCCCCUGACGCUCGGCGAGGACGUCUUCAGCCUCGUGGUGCAACCGGACGCCGAUUGCACGAUGAUCAUGGCCCUCGUCGUCGUUCUGGACCGGAUCUGCUGGAGGCCAUACACGCCGUUGAUAUGUUCUUCGUAG